AAAAUUCCACUAUUCCGAAAUUCGAAACAGAAAUUUCCUGCUUAUUUUUUAAGAAUUUGAAAAAGUAGGCAAACGAAGAUACUUUUAAAGGAUGAAUAAAAAGAUCAAACGAGAAGAUCGAUAUCUGCAUUUGCAUAGGAAGCAUGAUAAUAUGAGUCAUGAGAAAUUAUAAGCAUUCCCUUAAACUGAUCUUUGCUUUGACUUUAUCUUUAAUUGUACAUGGCGAAUGGGAGGAUAUCCAUUAUUUUUAUCCGUCGGAUCUACUAUCGAUCUUUGCGCUUAAGUGCGCUUCUGCAAGGACAACGAGAUCAGUAUGGUUUCGCGUGGUGGAUUCGAUUGGACUGCUCCUGUUUUAAAAUACCGAUCUUAUUGAACUGAUAUCUUUCUAACAUUUCGUUGACACCACGCGACACUUUUGCGCCGUUAUGGAUACUUACAACCAAGUUAUUUCCAUUUUCUUCAAAUUAAUCUCAUAAAUUAUGAUAUAUUUGUAAAAGUAUUCACAUCUGGAUUAUCAAAGAAAUAGCAUAAGUUCAGCGUCCAACGUAUUAGUGUCUCAUCCUGCAUACUUGAAUGAAGACGCAAGGCACUGUCACAUUUUCACGCUUUGAUUUAUUACUUUCGCUACAGAAAAGAACUUGGAUACGUUGCAGCAUUUCAUUAUGAAACGCGACGAACAACGUGAACAGCGUUUCAAAUUAAUGUGAACAAAAAUGAAACUUACCCAUGCUGGUGAAUAUGUUCUGCGCGGGCAAGAGCACCUGUUGAUCCACACGAGACGCCGUCUCUUCGUUGACUGAGAUUGAAGCGGAUUCGCGCUCCCCGCAAGGCCUGAAAAUGAAUACCGUAACAUUAUACAGGAUGUAUCAAAAUCAGAGAACAGAAUCUACGCAACUAUGGAACUAAUAAGUUUUUCACAGGAAUGACCAAAAAAGCAAAAGAAGCAAGAUAUUUUGAAUGAAAUGUUGAAAAGAAAC
Frieseomelitta varia is the source of this 977-nucleotide long non-coding RNA. RefSeq lists it as uncharacterized. The record is from RefSeq and is a predicted model, not a curated record. Lineage: Eukaryota; Metazoa; Arthropoda; Insecta; Hymenoptera; Apidae. The transcript has 2 exons.